AAGCCUGAUCCAGCCAUGCCGCGUGUGUGAAGAAGGUCUUCGGAUUGUAAAGCACUUUAAGUCGGGAGGAAGGGCUGUAGGCGAAUACCCUGCAGCCUUGACGUUACCGACAGAAUAAGCACCGGCUAACUUCGUGCCAGCAGCCGCGGUAAUACGAAGGGUGCAAGCGUUAAUCGGAAUUACUGGGCGUAAAGCGCGCGUAGGUGGUUUGGUAAGUUGGAUGUGAAAGCCCUGGGCUCAACCUGGGAACUUCAUCCAAAACUGCCUGGCUAGAGUACGGUAGAGGGUGGUGGAAUUUCCUGUGUAGCGGUGAAAUGCGUAGAUAUAGGAAGGAACACCAGUGGCGAAGGCGACCACCUGGACUGAUACUGACACUGAGGUGCGAAAGCGUGGGGAGGAAACAGGAUUAGAUACCCUGGUAGUCCACGCC
This 430-nucleotide ribosomal RNA is filed under the name uncultured Azotobacter sp. Its description in RNAcentral is "bacterial SSU rRNA". It matches the Rfam family "Bacterial small subunit ribosomal RNA", at positions 379 to 801 of the family's 1533-position model. The record is from RNAcentral. Lineage: Bacteria; Pseudomonadati; Pseudomonadota; Gammaproteobacteria; Pseudomonadales; Pseudomonadaceae.